UACGAAGGGGGCUAGCGUUGCUCGGAAUCACUGGGCGUAAAGGGUGCGUAGGCGGGUCUUUAAGUCAGGGGUGAAAUCCUGGAGCUCAACUCCAGAACUGCCUUUGAUACUGAAGAUCUUGAGUUCGGGAGAGGUGAGUGGAACUGCGAGUGUAGAGGUGAAAUUCGUAGAUAUUCGCAAGAACACCGGUGGCGAAGGCGGUUAGCUGGGCAGUAGCUGACACUGAGGCGCGACAGCGUGGGGAGCAAACAGG
This 253-nucleotide ribosomal RNA is filed under the name uncultured bacterium. RNAcentral's name for it is "partial 16S ribosomal RNA". It matches the Rfam family "Bacterial small subunit ribosomal RNA", at positions 524 to 776 of the family's 1533-position model. The record is from RNAcentral.